AGGCGCGUAGCUCAGCUGGUAGAGCACUGGUCUCCAAAACCAGGGGUCGCAGGUUCGAGCCCUGCCGCGCCUGCCA
This 76-nucleotide transfer RNA is filed under the name Candidatus Peregrinibacteria bacterium CG_4_9_14_3_um_filter_49_12. Its description in RNAcentral is "tRNA-Trp". It matches the Rfam family "tRNA". Rfam says of the family: Transfer RNA (tRNA) molecules are approximately 80 nucleotides in length. RNAcentral also lists the same sequence under 2 other names. Lineage: Bacteria; Candidatus Peregrinibacteriota. The record is from RNAcentral.